This 253-nucleotide ribosomal RNA is filed under the name uncultured bacterium. Its description in RNAcentral is "partial 16S ribosomal RNA". It matches the Rfam family "Bacterial small subunit ribosomal RNA", at positions 524 to 776 of the family's 1533-position model. The record is from RNAcentral.
UACCGAGGGGGCAAGCGUUAUUCGGAAUUACUGGGCGUAAAGGGCGCGUAGGCGGCCGCCUAAGUCAGACGUGAAAUCCCUCGGCUCAACCGGGGAACUGCGUCUGAUACUGGGUGGCUUGAAUCCGGGAGAGGGAUGCGGAAUUCCAGGUGUAGCGGUGAAAUGCGUAGAUAUCUGGAGGAACACCGGUGGCGAAGGCGGCAUCCUGGACCGGUAUAGACGCUGAGGCGCGAAAGCCAGGGGAGCAAACGGG